Aethalodelphis obliquidens (Pacific white-sided dolphin) is the source of this 906-nucleotide long non-coding RNA. RefSeq lists it as uncharacterized. NCBI's taxonomy places the organism in Eukaryota, Metazoa, Chordata, Mammalia, Artiodactyla, Delphinidae. The transcript is spliced from 3 exons. The record is from RefSeq and is a predicted model, not a curated record.
GCCUGACGCGCCCGCCGCCGCGCGCGGGGGUUUGUUUAUUUUCUAGGUUGGUUGCUGCGCUGUCGCGUGGGUAGGGGUUCGCGGGUGACGUGAGCGCCCGGAGUUGGGGGAAAGGACCAGACCCACCUGCUGGAGAAGGGGAGCUACGGGGGCCGGGCAGGGUCCAAACGUCUCACGUAGGCGGCGGCGCCGCGGUCUUCGGGGUUACCGGGAAGAGAAGGGCUUACCCGGGGUAGGUGGAAGGACGGAGGCCUCCCGAGAGAAUAGGACUCCAGGCUAUUUCUCCGCAGUUCGGCGGCUUCACCUGAAUCGCGGAGAGCAGUUAGAGAGCCCUGCAGUAGAAAAGGGCCAGUGGAACGUGGGGGCCCGAAUUCCCAGCCCCUCCGGGCUCGACCUCCAGUUAGUGAAGUAGGGUUGGUCCUGCAAACAAGAUUUGAAUAGAAAGACUGCAUCAUUUCUCUCUGGAUUAUGCAGAUGACUACAAGUCCCUGGAGUUGGCAGAACCACAGAAAGAACGUGCAGGGAUGAAGGAGAGCUGCCCAUUGACCUGGAACACCCACUCUGGAUUAUUUUGUGAGCAAGAGCUAUUUGAAUCCUGGAACACUGUGAGGAGUGAGGGGAGCUAUAAUCUGCCUAUAAUUUGUUGUUACUUGGGGCAGGGUUCAAGAAGUGGUUCUUUUAAGAGACCCCUCAGAUCAAAUAAAUUCUAACAAUAUUUACCACUUUGGACUUGAAAAAUCAUACCUUGCUUUGUAUAUACUGUAAUAAGCUUGAAAACACAAUAAUACAGUAUGUAAAUAUUGUUUCAAAAUGCAUUUCUUUUGUUCUACUUUAAUUACAUAAGUAUUUACUAAUAAAUGGAGUUUUAAAUUUCCAAAAAUCCUAAGUAUACAAGUUUUUAGAUGU